UCUGCUCCGUGGUGCACUACCCCAGCAAAGCCUCUCGGAAGACUCACAUUCAAAACCCGCUGAGCUCUGCCUGACCAAAGGUUGCCAAACCUGUUUGCUUCCUCCUUGCUGUGUAGCAUCCUAUGGAGUUAUGGGAAAGGCUGGGGUAGACACCAUUGGUAAGUAGAUAGCUGUUGGUCUUACCCGUUGUAAGGACGCGGCCUUUUAAGAAAUGGAUGGCCAGGCACCCCCCAGAAGCCACCAAGACCCUUCCCCCACCAUGGACAAGGCAUGAAAGGGAGGGAGGAAAUUCUUCCAGGGAGGAAGGGUCUGUGUGGGUCAGGAUGGCUGGAAGAGAUGGGUCAGUUUGACCCUAAUGGAGAGAGAGUGUGAAGAGGGGGACCAGGGUGAAGCUGGGGAAGUCAAGUGUGGAGGGCCCUACCUGGUGGUGUAGCAGAUCCUAGUGAUUGAUUGAUUCAUUGUGAAAGAAACAGGAGAUGCCAGGGCUGAAGAUGAUCCUACUAACGGGGCCUGGAGCCAUGGUAGAAAUAUUUACAGAAACAGGAAGGCCCCUGGGGAACAACUUUCAGAGCGUCAAAACCAUGUUCUCAUCAUGUUGAAAUACCCCAACUUAUCUUUAUUAACCAGUGCUGAGGGCCCCAUCUAAAAACCCAUUGUGAGAAUUGAAUUUUCCACCCUACCUUGAACAGUUAAAAAUCAGAUUUGUCUGACUUCUAAUUUUAGAAGGAACCGGGCUGACCUUCAUUCCGCUGUUGCUAACUGGAGCCCUGUUACCUGGGUGACUAGAUUUACAAUAUGUCAGUAUGCAAAUACCAUCUGCCCAAGAGGAAGAGCGAGAGAGCCCUUGCUCCUGCAGGGUGGUCAGCAGUUCUGCGAACGUCUCCUCCUCUGGGAACAGGGUGGGGGCCUGGGGCUGGGGCCUGGCCGAGGAGCAGAGAUGCAGAGAGGAAGAUGUGACGCUCUGCUGUCUCCUUCCUUGUUUAAAAAAAAAUUCUUCCUAG
RNAcentral lists this long non-coding RNA (1001 nucleotides) under Fukomys damarensis (Damara mole-rat). RNAcentral describes it as "lncRNA (ENSFDAG00000024331.1)". The record is from RNAcentral. Lineage: Eukaryota; Metazoa; Chordata; Mammalia; Rodentia; Bathyergidae.